This 471-nucleotide ribosomal RNA is filed under the name uncultured bacterium. RNAcentral's name for it is "bacterial SSU rRNA". It matches the Rfam family "Bacterial small subunit ribosomal RNA", at positions 100 to 550 of the family's 1533-position model. The record is from RNAcentral.
GACGGGUGAGUAACGCGUGGGUAACCUGCCCUUUUGUGGGGAACAACUUCGAGAAAUCGGAGCUAAUACCGCAUAAUAAUAGAGGAUCGCAUGAUUCUUUAAGGAAAGAUGGCCUCUGAAGAUGCUAUCGCAAAAGGAUGGACCCGCGUCUGAUUAGCUAGUUGGAAGGGUAACGGCCUACCAAGGCAACGAUCAGUAGCCGGCCUGAGAGGGUGAACGGCCACAUUGGGACUGAGACACGGCCCAAACUCCUACGGGAGGCAGCAGUGGGGAAUCUUCCGCAAUGGGCGAAAGCCUGACGGAGCAAUGCCGCGUGAGUGAAGAAGGCCUUCGGGUUGUAAAACUCUGUCCUUAUCGAAGAGAGGUAGGUAUGUGAAUAAUGUACCUAUAGGACGGUAGAUAAGGAGGAAGCCCCGGCUAACUACGUGCCAGCAGCCGCGGUAAUACGUAGGGGGCGAGCGUUGUCCGGAA